UCAGACAUUGUUCCUUGGAGCCAUCUAC
RNAcentral lists this non-coding RNA (28 nucleotides) under Mus musculus (house mouse). The record is from RNAcentral. Lineage: Eukaryota; Metazoa; Chordata; Mammalia; Rodentia; Muridae.